Molecule: ribosomal RNA, 393 nt
Filed under: uncultured bacterium
Lineage: Bacteria
Description: partial 16S ribosomal RNA
Rfam family: Bacterial small subunit ribosomal RNA
Source: RNAcentral
AUACGGAGGAUGCGAGCGUUAUCCGGAUUUAUUGGGUUUAAAGGGUGCGUAGGCUGUGCGUUAAGUCAGGGGUGAAAUGCCGUCGCUCAACGACGGAGCUGCCCUUGAUACUGGCGUGCUGGAGUACGGAUGCCGUUGGAGGAAUGAGUGGUGUAGCGGUGAAAUGCUUAGAUAUCACUCAGAACACCGAUUGCGAAGGCAUCUGACGAAUCCGUCACUGACGCUGAGGCACGAAAGCGUGGGGAUAGAACAGGAUUAGAUACCCUGGUAUUCCACGCCGUAAACGAUGAUGACUAACCGUCGGCGAUAGACAGCCGGUGGCCAAGCGAAAGCGAUAAGUCAUCCACCUGGGGAGUACGUCGGCAACGAUGAAACUCAAAUGAAUGGGCGGGG